GCCGGAAUAGCUCAGUUGGGAGAGCGUUAGACUGAACAAUCAUCUAAAGGCCCCUGGUUCAAUCCCGGGUUCCGGCA
RNAcentral lists this transfer RNA (77 nucleotides) under Dreissena polymorpha. It matches the Rfam family "tRNA". From Rfam's summary of the family: Transfer RNA (tRNA) molecules are approximately 80 nucleotides in length. The record is from Rfam by way of RNAcentral. Lineage: Eukaryota; Metazoa; Mollusca; Bivalvia; Myida; Dreissenidae.